Molecule: ribosomal RNA, 483 nt
Filed under: uncultured bacterium
Lineage: Bacteria
Description: partial 16S ribosomal RNA
Rfam family: Bacterial small subunit ribosomal RNA
Source: RNAcentral
GAUUAACGCUAGCGGCAGGCAUAAUACAUGCAAGUUGAACGGCAGCACAGGUAGCAAUACUGGGUGGCGAGUGGCGCACGGGUGCGUAACACGUAUGCAACCUACCCUAUACAGGCGAAUAACCUUUAGAAAUGAGGGCUAAUACGCCGUAGUAUUACAGAUGGGCAUCUAUUUGUAAUUAAAGAUUUAUCGGUAUAGGAUGGGCAUGCGUCCCAUUAGUUAGUUGGUAAGGUAACGGCUUACCAAGACGAUGAUGGGUAGGGGAUCUGAGAGGACUUACCCCCACACGGGUACUGAGACACGGACCAGACUCCUACGGCAGGCAGCAGUAGGGAAUAUUGGGCAAUGGCCGCGAGGCUGACCCAGCCAUGCCGCGUGCAGGAAGACGGCCUUAUGGGUUGUAAACUGCUUUUAUACGGGAAUAAUAGAGUGUACGCGUACAUUUAUGCAAGUAUCGUAUGAAUAACAUCGGCUAACUCCGUG